This is a small nucleolar RNA of Apodemus sylvaticus (European woodmouse), 133 nucleotides long. RefSeq annotates it as small nucleolar RNA SNORA70. The record is from RefSeq and is a predicted model, not a curated record. The transcript has a single exon. Lineage: Eukaryota; Metazoa; Chordata; Mammalia; Rodentia; Muridae.
UUGCAGCCAGUUAAGCUGACCUAGUUCAUUCUACACAGAGGCUUAGUGAGCUAAGGCUGCAGAUAGUGGCCUCCUUGAGAGUGCAUGCAGCCUACUGCCUAGACAGGGGCCCUAAAAUGACUGAUAGACAAUU